This 260-nucleotide ribosomal RNA is filed under the name uncultured bacterium. RNAcentral describes it as "partial 16S ribosomal RNA". It matches the Rfam family "Bacterial small subunit ribosomal RNA", at positions 32 to 282 of the family's 1533-position model. The record is from RNAcentral.
AUCAACGCUGGCGGCGUGCCUCAGACAUGCAAGUCGAACGAUUAAAGCUCUCUUCGGAGAGUGUAUAGAGUGGCGCACGGGUGAGUAACACGUAAGUAAUCUACCUUUGAGUGGGGAAUAACAGUCGGAAACGACUGCUAAUACCGCAUAAUGCAGCGGCAUCGCAAGAUGACAGUUGUUAAAGGAGCAAUUCGCUUGAAGAGGAGCUUGCGGCAGAUUAGCUUGUUGGUAAGGUAACGGCUUACCAAGGCUACGACUCU